UACGUAUGGUGCAAGCGUUAUCCGGAUUUACUGGGCGUAAAGGGAGCGCAGGCGGUGCGCCAAGUCUGAUGUGAAACCCCGGGGCUCAACCCCGGGCAUGCAUUGGAAACUGGCGGGCUGGAGUGCCGGAGAGGUAAGCGGAAUUCCUAGUGUUGCGGUGAAAUGCGUAGAUAUUAGGAGGAACACCAGUGGCGAAGGCGGCUUACUGGACGGCAACUGACGCUGAGGCUCGAAAGCGUGGGGAGCAAACAGG
RNAcentral lists this ribosomal RNA (253 nucleotides) under uncultured bacterium. RNAcentral describes it as "partial 16S ribosomal RNA". It matches the Rfam family "Bacterial small subunit ribosomal RNA", at positions 524 to 776 of the family's 1533-position model. The record is from RNAcentral.